This 73-nucleotide transfer RNA is filed under the name Fibroporia radiculosa. Its description in RNAcentral is "tRNA-Phe (GAA) (tRNA-Phe-GAA-3-1)". It matches the Rfam family "tRNA". From Rfam's summary of the family: Transfer RNA (tRNA) molecules are approximately 80 nucleotides in length. Their secondary structure includes four short double-helical elements and three loops (D, anti-codon, and T loops). Lineage: Eukaryota; Fungi; Basidiomycota; Agaricomycetes; Polyporales; Fibroporiaceae. The record is from RNAcentral.
GCCGGGAUAGCUCAGCUGGGAGAGCGACAGACUGAAGUUCUGCAGGUCGGGCGUUCGAGCCGCCCUCCUGGCA